CUAACACAUGCAAGUCGAACGGUAACAGGUCUUCGGAUGCUGACGAGUGGCGCACGGGUGAGUAACGCGUGGAUAUCUGCCUAUUAGUGGGGGACAACUUGUGGAAACGCAAGCUAAUACCGCAUAAUCCCUACGGGGGAAAGCAGGGGACCUUCGGGCCUUGUGCUGAUAGAUGAGUCCGCGUCUGAUUAGCUAGUUGGUAGGGUAAAGGCCUACCAAGGCGAUGAUCAGUAUCUGGUUUGAGAGGAUGAUCAGACACACUGGAACUGAGACACGGUCCAGACUUCUACGGAAGGCAGCAGUGGGGAAUAUUGCACAAUGGGCGCAAGCCUGAUGCAGCGACGCCGCGUGUGGGAAGAAGGCUUUAGGGUUGUAAACCACUUUCAAUUGGGAAGAAGAGAUGAGUGUUAAUAACAUUCUGAUUUGACGGUACCUUUAGAAGAAGCACCGGCUAAUUUCGUGCCAGCAGCCGCGGUAAUACGAAAGGUGCAAGCGUUGUUCGGAUUUACUGGGCGUAAAGAGAGUGUAGGUUGUUUAUUAAGUCGGAUGUGAAAUCCCGGGGCUCAACCUCGGAACUGCAUUCGAUACUGGUAGACUAGAGUUCGGGAGGGGUAAGCGGAAUUCCGUGUGUAGCAGUGAAAUGCGUAGAUAUACGGAGGAACACCUGAGGCGAAGGCGGCUUACUGGACCGAUACUGACACUGAGACUCGAAAGCGUGGGUAGCAAACAGGAUUAGAUACCCUGGUAGUCCACGCCCUAAACGAUGUCAACUAGCCGUUGCGGGUAUCGACCCCUGCAGUGGCGAAGCUAACGCGAUAAGUUGACCGCCUGGGGAGUAC
This 839-nucleotide ribosomal RNA is filed under the name uncultured bacterium. Its description in RNAcentral is "bacterial SSU rRNA". It matches the Rfam family "Bacterial small subunit ribosomal RNA", at positions 48 to 883 of the family's 1533-position model. The record is from RNAcentral.